This 1441-nucleotide ribosomal RNA is filed under the name uncultured organism. RNAcentral's name for it is "16S ribosomal RNA". It matches the Rfam family "Bacterial small subunit ribosomal RNA". The record is from RNAcentral.
CUAGCUACAGGCUUAACACAUGCAAGUCGAGGGGCAGCAUGGUCUUAGCUUGCUAAGGCCGAUGGCGACCGGCGCACGGGUGAGUAACACGUAUCCAACCUGCCGUCUACUCUUGGACAGCCUUCUGAAAGGAAGAUUAAUACAAGAUGGCAUCAUGAGUCCGCAUGUUCACAUGAUUAAAGGUAUUCCGGUAGACGAUGGGGAUGCGUUCCAUUAGAUAGUAGGCGGGGUAACGGCCCACCUAGUCUUCGAUGGAUAGGGGUUCUGAGAGGAAGGUCCCCCACAUUGGAACUGAGACACGGUCCAAACUCCUACGGGAGGCAGCAGUGAGGAAUAUUGGUCAAUGGGCGAGAGCCCGAACCAGCCAAGUAGCGUGAAGGAUGACUGCCCUAUGGGUUGUAAACUUCUUUUAUAAAGGAAUAAAGUCGGGUAUGGAUACCCGUUUGCAUGUACUUUAUGAAUAAGGAUCGGCUAACUCCGUGCCAGCAGCCGCGGUAAUACGGAGGAUCCGAGCGUUAUCCGGAUUUAUUGGGUUUAAAGGGAGCGUAGAUGGAUGUUUAAGUCAGUUGUGAAAGUUUGCGGCUCAACCGUAAAAUUGCAGUUGAUACUGGAUAUCUUGAGUGCAGUUGAGGCAGGCGGAAUUCGUGGUGUAGCGGUGAAAUGCUUAGAUAUCACGAAGAACUCCGAUUGCGAAGGCAGCCUGCUAAGCUGCAACUGACAUUGAGGCUCGAAAGUGUGGGUAUCAAACAGGAUUAGAUACCCUGGUAGUCCACACGGUAAACGAUGAAUACUCGCUGUUUGCGAUAUACUGCAAGCGGCCAAGCGAAAGCGUUAAGUAUUCCACCUGGGGAGUACGCCGGCAACGGUGAAACUCAAAGGAAUUGACGGGGGCCCGCACAAGCGGAGGAACAUGUGGUUUAAUUCGAUGAUACGCGAGGAACCUUACCCGGGCUUAAAUUGCAGAUGAAUUACGGUGAAAGCCGUAAGCCGCAAGGCAUCUGUGAAGGUGCUGCAUGGUUGUCGUCAGCUCGUGCCGUGAGGUGUCGGCUUAAGUGCCAUAACGAGCGCAACCCUUGUUGUCAGUUACUAACAGGUUCCGCUGAGGACUCUGACAAGACUGCCAUCGUAAGAUGUGAGGAAGGUGGGGAUGACGUCAAAUCAGCACGGCCCUUACGUCCGGGGCUACACACGUGUUACAAUGGGGGGUACAGAGGGCCGCUACCACGCGAGUGGAUGCCAAUCCCCAAAACCUCUCUCAGUUCGGACUGGAGUCUGCAACCCGACUCCACGAAGCUGGAUUCGCUAGUAAUCGCGCAUCAGCCACGGCGCGGUGAAUACGUUCCCGGGCCUUGUACACACCGCCCGUCAAGCCAUGGGAGCCGGGGGUACCUGAAGUGCGUAACCGCGAGGAGCGCCCUAGGGUAAAACUGGUGACUGGGGC